AGCAGUAGCCGCGGUAAUACGGAGGGUGCAAGCGUUAAUCGGAAUUACUGGGCGUAAAGCGUGCGUAGGCGGUUCGUUAAGUCUGUUGUGAAAGCCCCGGGCUCAACCUGGGAAUGGCAAUGGAUACUGGCGAGCUAGAGUGUGUCAGAGGAUGGUGGAAUUCCCGGUGUAGCGGUGAAAUGCGUAGAGAUCGGGAGGAACAUCAGUGGCGAAGGCGGCCAUCUGGGACAACACUGACGCUGAGGCACGAAAGCGUGGGGAGCAAACAGGAUUAGAUACCCGCGUAGUCCCUGUCUCUUAUAA
RNAcentral lists this ribosomal RNA (303 nucleotides) under uncultured bacterium. RNAcentral's name for it is "partial 16S ribosomal RNA". It matches the Rfam family "Bacterial small subunit ribosomal RNA", at positions 507 to 809 of the family's 1533-position model. The record is from RNAcentral.